CGAGGAGCUUGCAUCUCAUACAGUCAACGUAAAGCAAGGAAAAAACAGCAGGUCACAGCCCGUGAAAGCAGGAGGGAUUUGAUCCCUAACCAGCAGGGCUUCCCUGUGGAACCUUUGAAUAUUUCCUUUUACCUGUCCGCAGACAGAAGAACUGAAAUUCGGGCUGCUUAAAGAUCAGGCAAACCUGAGGGCUGAGAUAAGAGAGG
This 206-nucleotide long non-coding RNA is filed under the name Dromaius novaehollandiae (emu). RNAcentral's name for it is "lncRNA (ENSDNVG00000010569.1)". Lineage: Eukaryota; Metazoa; Chordata; Aves; Casuariiformes; Dromaiidae. The record is from RNAcentral.